This 601-nucleotide ribosomal RNA is filed under the name uncultured Delftia sp. RNAcentral's name for it is "bacterial SSU rRNA". It matches the Rfam family "Bacterial small subunit ribosomal RNA", at positions 899 to 1499 of the family's 1533-position model. The record is from RNAcentral. Lineage: Bacteria; Pseudomonadati; Pseudomonadota; Betaproteobacteria; Burkholderiales; Comamonadaceae.
ACUCAAAGGAAUUGACGGGGACCCGCACAAGCGGUGGAUGAUGUGGUUUAAUUCGAUGCAACGCGAAAAACCUUACCCACCUUUGACGUGGCAGGAAGUUUCCAGAGAUGGAUUCGUGCUCGAAAGAGAACCUGCACACAGGUGCUGCAUGGCUGUCGUCAGCUCGUGUCGUGAGAUGUUGGGUUAAGUCCCGCAACGGGCGCAACCCUUGUCAUUAGUUGCUACAUUCAGUUGAGCACUCUAAUGAGACUGCCGGUGACAAACCGGAGGAAGGUGGGGAUGACGUCAAGUCCUCAUGGCCCUUAUAGGUGGGGCUACACACGUCAUACAAUGGCUGGUACAGAGGGUUGCCUACCCGCGAGGGGGAGCUAAUCCCAUAAAACCAGUCGUAGUCCGGAUCGCAGUCUGCAACUCGACUGCGUGAAGACGGAAUCGCUAGUAAUCGCAGAUCAGCAUUGCUGCGGUGAAUACGUUCCCGGGUCUUGUACACACCGCCCGUCACACCAUGGGAGCGGGUCUCGCCAGAAGUAGGUAGCCUAACCGCAAGGAGGGCGCUUACCACGGCGGGGUUCGUGACUGGGGUGAAGUCGUAACAAGGUAA